RNAcentral lists this non-coding RNA (145 nucleotides) under Pelagibacterium sp. SCN 64-44. RNAcentral's name for it is "6S RNA". It matches the Rfam family "6S / SsrS RNA". Rfam says of the family: E. coli 6S RNA was the first non coding RNA to be sequenced, but its function was unknown until recently. It consists of 184 nucleotides that fold into an extended hairpin structure with a large single-stranded internal bulge. Lineage: Bacteria; Pseudomonadati; Pseudomonadota; Alphaproteobacteria; Hyphomicrobiales; Devosiaceae. The record is from RNAcentral.
CUUCCGCUGCCCGGCGCGUGAGGACUCACAUAUCCCGAUCCUAAGGGAGCUGUCCCUGACCGGGCCCGUGGGCUCGGACAUACGGCGCCCACCUACGUGAGUAGGUUCCCGGGAUCGCAUGUCCCACGGCCAGGGCGGCACAAGA